RNAcentral lists this long non-coding RNA (1052 nucleotides) under Pan troglodytes (chimpanzee). RNAcentral describes it as "long non-coding RNA NONPTRT005531". The record is from RNAcentral. Lineage: Eukaryota; Metazoa; Chordata; Mammalia; Primates; Hominidae.
UCUCUGGCCUUUGGACUGUGACUGAAUUGCAGUGGCAGCUUUCCUGAGUCUCCCGCUGGCAGAGAGCAGAUGGCAGGACUUCUUGGCCUCCAAUCAUCAUAUUUAGGACAACUAUGAAGCGCCAUCUUAGUCCCAAACUUCCCGGGGGAUUGAGUAUAUGCACGUGGAGAGUCAUGCGUGAGUACAGAGGUGGGCCGGGAUGGCUGUCAGGGCCCAAAAUGUUCACUUGGAAGAUAACAGAAUGUACGUGGUGUAAAAAGUCUUGAGUCCAGGUAAUAGGACCUAGGGAGAAAGUACAUAGAAAAGGGUGGAGGACUGAGCUUGGGGCACUCCAUCACCAGCUGGAUGGCGGGGAGAGGCGAGGAAAGGCAGCAGUGUGUGGUGCUGCAGAGGGGCUGUGUCAAAGGGGAGGGCUGCUGGGAGCUGGGGAACAGGACGCUAGGAUGUCCACGCAACCUGAUGCCAUGAAGUCAUUGGUGACCUGUCAAGAAGAGUGUUACUGCGAAGCAGAGGGCAAAAGCCAAGGGAGUUCAUGACCAGAGGUGAGGUGGUGUGUGGAGCGCUGCUGGGGAAGGGGGGAGGUCAGUGAUGGUGGGAGGGCUGGCUUUCCAGGAAGGCUGGGCACUGCUUCCUUGUCAGGCAGAGAAGGUGGACACACAUGCAGGCAGGUUUGUACCUGGAAGCAGAAAUGCAAAGGCUUUUGCUGAGACCUUUUACAGAGAGAGGGUGCUGCAGUAAAAGCUUCCAACCCCAGCCCUUCUAAUCUGUGUCCAGAAGGAAGUGCUUGGUCCCCAACAGAUGCCUACUCGAAACUUGCUGAUGGAGAGCUUGUCAAUUUCAUCUAACAAACCGGAAUCACUGGGGCCAUCCAGGAAUCACAGCAGCUCAUGAAGAAAUUCCACGCGAACAGGGCUGUUAAAAGCCAACCCGCCAGAAAGGGUAGAACGGAGGAAGGACAAGAGGGUUCUAACACCUCCUGGAGGCAGAGCACCCACGGAAGUUUCUCAACACUUCUCGUUGAUUCAAGUGGAAGUGAGUAAAUUCCCUGACAU